UACGAACGCUGGCGGCGUGCUUAACACAUGCAAGUCGAACGGAAAGGCCCUGCUUUUGUGGGGUGCUCGAGUGGCGAACGGGUGAGUAACACGUGAGUAACCUGCCCUUGACUUUGGGAUAACUUCAGGAAACUGGGGCUAAUACCGGAUAGGAGCUCCUGCUGCAUGGUGGGGGUUGGAAAGUUUCGGCGGUUGGGGAUGGACUCGCGGCUUAUCAGCUUGUUGGUGGGGUAGUGGCUUACCAAGGCUUUGACGGGUAGCCGGCCUGAGAGGGUGACCGGCCACAUUGGGACUGAGAUACGGCCCAGACUCCCACGGGAGGCAGCAGUGGGGAAUAUUGCACAAUGGGCGGAAGCCUGAUGCAGCAACGCCGCGUGCGGGAUGACGGCCUUCGGGUUGUAAACCGCUUUCGCCUGUGACGAAGCGUGAGUGACGGUAAUGGGUAAAGAAGCACCGGCUAACUACGUG
This 468-nucleotide ribosomal RNA is filed under the name uncultured bacterium. RNAcentral's name for it is "partial 16S ribosomal RNA". It matches the Rfam family "Bacterial small subunit ribosomal RNA", at positions 29 to 507 of the family's 1533-position model. The record is from RNAcentral.